This 218-nucleotide ribosomal RNA is filed under the name uncultured bacterium. RNAcentral's name for it is "partial 16S ribosomal RNA". It matches the Rfam family "Bacterial small subunit ribosomal RNA", at positions 524 to 742 of the family's 1533-position model. The record is from RNAcentral.
CACGUAGGGUGCGAGCGUUGUCCGGAAUUAUUGGGCGUAAAGAGCUCGUAGGCGGUGUGUCGCGUCGGCCGUGAAACCUGCAGCUUAACUGUGGGCUUGCGGUCGAUACGGGCAUCACUGGAGUUCGGCAGGGAGACUGGAAUCCUGGUGUAGCGGUGAAAUGCGCAGAUAUCAGGAGGAACACCGGUGGCGAAGGCGGGUCUCUGGGCCGAUGACUG